UUCCCCAAACUGCAACAGCUCAAACUCCAUGGAAAACUCCCAUGUGUUGCAUUGUCCUUGCGCACAAGCGCUCUCGGUGCAGAGCCGUGGGACCGUCGCUGCAUGCCCUCUUCCCCAAUGUUGUCGAAUACAUUUCCGUUUGCGAUCCGUUUUCGAGCUUCGAGGGAUCGAAGAUCAAGAGUUGGUGACCAAGUGAUCUGGCUCUUCGAGUUCCACGAAGCUGAAGACCCUGAGCAUCUAUUUGGUGAAGGUUGCCUUUGGUGCAAUCUAUGCUCAGGUAAAGAAGGUGUCGAGGCGGAUCUCCAGGAGUUCCAGGACUUCGACGAGUCCGAGGAUUAGGCUAGCGACCUCCCCCAGUCAGCUGCCUGUGGUGGGUUGUUUACGUUGGCUACGUUUCGAUUCUGUGUACUUUGAUUUAUAUUAUGUAAAUGGCUCUAGUCUGUAAUAUUAUUACUUACUCUUUAUUGUAAUUCGAAGCAUUGUGCUA
Molecule: long non-coding RNA, 487 nt
Organism: Zea mays
Lineage: Eukaryota; Viridiplantae; Streptophyta; Magnoliopsida; Poales; Poaceae
Exons: 3
Source: RefSeq, a predicted model, not a curated record